AAUUAAGCCUAAUUAAGUUAAAUUUAAAUUAGUCUAAUUGGACUUAACUUAUUUGGUUCAAUUAGGUUGGUUUAAAUAUUGAAACCACCUUGACCCAAUCUCCAUGCGCCAUCUCACUUCCAUUGCAUCCAUUUGAAUUCAUGAAAAGGAACUUCUCAUGAAUUUUUUUCUCACACCAAGCCCUCUCCACACCCCACUUUAAUGUGCUAUUUGAAUGGAUAAGAAUGAUUGGUUGGCCAUUCAAAUUCAAAAUAAAGUUUGAAUUUGAAUGGGCAAUCAAUCUUUGCACCUUAUCCCUUUUUUAACGCCCCAUUUAUUACAUGAGAAAAAUAUUUCUCAUGAAAUCACUCCAUGCAUAAUUUUAGCCAUGUCUCAUGCCUUUAGUGGAUAAGGGAUGAGUUGGUGUCCAUUUGAAUUCAAAAUUUGAUUUGAAUUCAAAUGUGUAAUUACUCAUCUUUAUCUUUUCUUUUGGAUAAGACGUUUGAGGUUGUUAUAAAAGGAGGAGAAGAGUGGGGCAUGUAAGAUGAAUAUUUUUUGAAGAAAAUUUUUGGGGCGUGAGGAAGUCUUGUGCGUGAGAAGGAAGUCCAUAUCCUUCCAAGAGAAAAAGAAAGAAAAGAAAGAAAAGUAGGGUGCAAGGUUUCCAGUGAGUUCCCUAGAGUUUUAGCCUGGGGUUCGGGAAGUGAGAAAGUGAGCUACGAGUGUCGUGAGCCCACAAAAUUUUAGGA
This 725-nucleotide long non-coding RNA is filed under the name Elaeis guineensis (African oil palm). RNAcentral describes it as "long non-coding RNA (EGUI_LNC080085)". Lineage: Eukaryota; Viridiplantae; Streptophyta; Magnoliopsida; Arecales; Arecaceae. The record is from RNAcentral.